CCUACGGGUGGCAGCAGUGAGGAAUAUUGGUCAAUGGACGAGAGUCUGAACCAGCCAAGUCGCGUGAAGGAUGACUGCCCUAUGGGUUGUAAACUUCUUUUAUCUGGGAAUAAAAUGUUCCACGUGUGGGAUUUGUUAUGUACCAUAUGAAUAAGGAUCGGCUAACUCCGUGCCAGCAGACGCGGUAAUACGGGGGAUCCGAGCGUUAUCCGGAUUUAUUGGGUUUAAAGGGAGCGUAGGUGGAUUGUUAAGUCAGCGGUAAAACCCCGGGGCUCAACCCCGGAGAGCCGUUGAAACUGGCUGUCUUGAGAUGGCGAGAGGUAUGCGGAAUGCGCAGUGUAGCGGUGAAAUGCUUAGAUAUUGCGCAGAACUCCGAUUGCGAAGGCAGCAUACCGGCGGCGAUCUGACGCUGAGGCACGAAAGCGUGGGUAUCGAACAGGAUUAGAUACCCCAGUAGUC
This 459-nucleotide ribosomal RNA is filed under the name uncultured bacterium. RNAcentral's name for it is "partial 16S ribosomal RNA". It matches the Rfam family "Bacterial small subunit ribosomal RNA", at positions 338 to 795 of the family's 1533-position model. The record is from RNAcentral.